Molecule: ribosomal RNA, 424 nt
Filed under: uncultured Escherichia sp.
Lineage: Bacteria; Pseudomonadati; Pseudomonadota; Gammaproteobacteria; Enterobacterales; Enterobacteriaceae
Description: bacterial SSU rRNA
Rfam family: Bacterial small subunit ribosomal RNA
Source: RNAcentral
AUUGAACGCUGGCGGCAGGCCUAACACAUGCAAGUCGAACGGUAACAGGAAACAGCUUGCUGUUUCGCUGACGAGUGGCGGACGGGUGAGUAAUGUCUGGGAAACUGCCUGAUGGAGGGGGAUAACUACUGGAAACGGUAGCUAAUACCGCAUAACGUCGCAAGACCAAAGAGGGGGACCUUCGGGCCUCUUGCCAUCGGAUGUGCCCAGAUGGGAUUAGCUAGUAGGUGGGGUAACGGCUCACCUAGGCGACGAUCCCUAGCUGGUCUGAGAGGAUGACCAGCCACACUGGAACUGAGACACGGUCCAGACUCCUACGGGAGGCAGCAGUGGGGAAUAUUGCACAAUGGGCGCAAGCCUGAUGCAGCCAUGCCGCGUGUAUGAAGAAGGCCUUCGGGUUGUAAAGUACUUUCAGCGGGGAGGA